AAAAAAUUAGUUAAGUAAUAACAUUAGUAUGUCAAACUAAAAUCAUUAGAAGACUAAUAUUUUUUA
Molecule: transfer RNA, 66 nt
Filed under: Heteropsilopus ingenuus
Lineage: Eukaryota; Metazoa; Arthropoda; Insecta; Diptera; Dolichopodidae
Description: tRNA-Asp
Source: RNAcentral